UAGGCUCCCCUUAUCCUUGUGUGAUAUUCGUUCCAUGGACAAGGACACAUUGGAGGUGAUUACCAACAAGGAGGUUAUUUCUGUUAACCAAGGUCUGGGCUGGUCCUCUAAGUGGCGAUAGGAUAGGAGUAAUAUUGUGGAACAGAAGAUCUUCCAAAGCCACCAUAAGAGCUGACUGAGUGACAUUGGCUUCAAAUCAUCAGCAGUGGUUGAUGCUCGAGAUUUAUGGGCGCAUUCAACUACUCACUCUGUUAAGAAUAAACUUGAGGCAAGCCAUAAUCUUGUGCAACACAAAAUAACAACCCGCAUAUUUUCGCUAGAAGCUAAUAAGUGUAGCACAGCUUUGUGGGUUUCUUGAUGCAAAGAAAAUAAGGCAAUAGUCACAAUUGCAGAUGAAGAUGGAAAUUAUUUACAGGAGGCAUGGGAGCAUAUUUUGACAUGUGUGUCCAGGUUUGAGCACAAUGUUCAGGUGUGCUGGGAGAAAUUUGGAGGGUACUUUGAGGUGGAGCUGAAGGAGGUGAAGCUAAGAGGUGGAUACUAUGUAAUGGACCCUCAAAAAGCAGUUGAAAUGGUAGAUGAUAACACUAUUUGUGUUGCUGCUUUUCUUGGUUCCACUCUCAAUGGAGAAUUUGAAGAUGUUAAGUUUUUGAAUGAUCUCGACUGAGAAGAACAAACAAACUGGACGGGACACUUCAAUCCAUGUUGAUGCUGCAAGCGGUGGGUCUAUUGCUCCAUUCCUUUACCCGGAGCUUGAGUGGGAUUUCCCGUUGCCUUUGGUGAAGAGCAUUAAUGUGAGUGGGCAUAAAUAUGGAUUUGACCAAUUCAUUUUCAAAGAAACCAUUAACCACUACUUGCUAACGGAUGUUGAGAACAUGUAAGAUAUUAAUUUGGAAUGUUAAACGUCAAAUGAGCUAGAUCUAAGAAUGAUUGUAAUGAUCGAUGGUGUUAGAAUCCUUUAAUCUUUUAAGCUAUUGCUUUUCCAAGUUACUUUUA
This is a long non-coding RNA of Pistacia vera, 993 nucleotides long. RefSeq lists it as uncharacterized. The transcript has 7 exons. Lineage: Eukaryota; Viridiplantae; Streptophyta; Magnoliopsida; Sapindales; Anacardiaceae. The record is from RefSeq and is a predicted model, not a curated record.